This 253-nucleotide ribosomal RNA is filed under the name uncultured bacterium. RNAcentral's name for it is "partial 16S ribosomal RNA". It matches the Rfam family "Bacterial small subunit ribosomal RNA", at positions 524 to 776 of the family's 1533-position model. The record is from RNAcentral.
UACGUAGGGAGCAAGCGUUGUUCGGAUUUACUGGGCGUAAAGGGCGCGUAGGCGGCGCGGUAAGUCACUUGUGAAAUCUCUGAGCUUAACUCAGAACGGCCAAGUGAUACUGCAGUGCUAGAGUGCAGAAAGGGCAAUCGGAAUUCUUGGUGUAGCGGUGAAAUGCGUAGAUAUCUGGAGGAACACCUGUGGCGAAGGCGGCUAUCUGGUCCAAUUCUGACGCUGAGGCGCGAAAGGUAGGGGAGCAAACAGG